Molecule: long non-coding RNA, 593 nt
Filed under: Cricetulus griseus (Chinese hamster)
Lineage: Eukaryota; Metazoa; Chordata; Mammalia; Rodentia; Cricetidae
Description: lncRNA (ENSCGRG00015031376.1)
Source: RNAcentral
GGAGGAAGACUCACCAGACCUCCAAGAACUACAGCAUUUUCUGGGACACCAAGCUGAUAGAAUCAAGGCUGGCAAAUGGAGUCAUUCCUUGGGCAAGAGCAAUGUCAGCUCCCGCAGAAGGGCUGGUGCUGUUAUACCCAUGGUGCCAUCAGCCAGCCAACUUUGUGGGAAAGAAAGGAAAUGGAAACUCCUCGGGAACAAGGUCACCCUCAAAGACCAAUGCCAGCAAGUGGAGAAAGAUGGAGAAGACACAGUCAGCAAACCAAGCUGUGGAAAUGCUUCACCUCAGACUCUAGUAACCAUGUUGGCCGUAUAUCGCCAUGCUGCCAUCAUGAUGACAAUGGACUGAACCUCUGAAACUAAGUUGCCGCCCCAACUAAAUGUUUUCCUCGUAAGAGUUGCGUGGUCAUGGCGUCUCUUCAUAGCAACAGAAACCCUGACCAAGACACCACUCUUGCUACCCACGCUGCCAUGGCAUCCCUACACAGGUCUUCUGGAAACACAAAUACAACUCGGAAGACAGCAUUGUAAGGACACAUUUGAGCAUGAGAGCUGAGGAUGGAAGGCCUUCUUUGGUCACAUCUGUGGACCCU